CAGCCGCCACGGGAAUACGAAGGGGGCUAGCGUUGUUCGGAAUUACUGGGCGUAAAGGGCGCGUAGGCGGCCAUUCAAGUUAGAUGUGAAAGCCCUGGGCUCAACCUAGGAAUUGCAUUUGAUACUGUUUGGCUUGAGUUCGGGAGAGGUGAGUGGAAUUCCCAGUGUAGAGGUGAAAUUCGUAGAUAUUGGGAAGAACACCAGUGGCGAAGGCGGCUCACUGGACCGACACUGACGCUGAGGCGCGAAAGCGUGGGGAGCAGACAGGAUUAGAUACCCGCGUAGUCCCUGUCUCUUAUAC
Molecule: ribosomal RNA, 301 nt
Filed under: uncultured bacterium
Lineage: Bacteria
Description: partial 16S ribosomal RNA
Rfam family: Bacterial small subunit ribosomal RNA
Source: RNAcentral